CUGUUGCCUAGCAACUGUCAAAAUGCACUAAAACAGAGCGUUUUAAGUAGAGGGUAAAUACAGGUAUGAACCUGAAAAUGGGCAUAAUAUGGGACCUUUAAACUGGGGAAAGCCCAGCAGACUAGUUCAAACAAAGAAAUCCCACACAGACUGACCUUCACCUUCAUACAGAGAUGUCUCAGUCUUGCAGACGGGAGGGAGCGCAACAUGAACUGUAAAGUCAGCAGAGCGAGCUGGAGGAACCAAUCAAAUCAAAGCUUCGGUUUGGGGGUGAUGACAUCAUUUGCGCCGUGUUCCAACCACAUGGAGAGACGCCAUCUGGAGGGUGCUGACUCAGCACAACACACACACACACAAGUACAAGCACAUCCUCUAGUAUUGUAGCUUGAGAUCAAACAGUAUACUGGUCCCAGUAAAAGCAGACAAGUG
This is a long non-coding RNA of Sebastes umbrosus (honeycomb rockfish), 429 nucleotides long. RefSeq lists it as uncharacterized. The record is from RefSeq and is a predicted model, not a curated record. Lineage: Eukaryota; Metazoa; Chordata; Actinopteri; Perciformes; Sebastidae. The transcript has 2 exons.